UCAGUAUAUAUAUGGAAGGUAUUAAUUACGCGAAGAAAAGUAUAGCUAUGAAAUGUUGAUAGACGCAGAGAAAAUGAGAUUGGUGGGUUUGGGGGCAUUUAAUCUUCCCCAUCGGAUCAUCCGCUGAUGAAUAGAGUUUUAGAUUUAGAUAUUAUGGAAGGAGUGUCUCGUCCCGAAGCUUCCUGGCUUUCAGAGGAGAAUUUAAGCAAUUCCGAGAUAUGAUUUUCUCCAGACUGGAACAUCAAGUGUUUAGUUGUAAGCAAUCUGACUUGGUAUUAGUAAACA
RNAcentral lists this long non-coding RNA (285 nucleotides) under Brassica napus (rape). RNAcentral's name for it is "long non-coding RNA (BNAP_LNC024284)". Lineage: Eukaryota; Viridiplantae; Streptophyta; Magnoliopsida; Brassicales; Brassicaceae. The record is from RNAcentral.